GAAGACGUAUUCCCACGUUCCGUGACCGCGACCCGAACGAGGCACGGAGCCUAUAGCACGCUGGGAAGAAGAAGAAGAAGAAGACUCGUCAGACCAGUCGAUCUCCCCCAAACCCAGAGCCCACCUCGCCGUCUCCGGGCUCCCUCGACCUCGCCGGCGGCGUGACCCCGAUGGCAUCGACGACGGUCCGGCGCUUCGGCGUGGCGGCGGCGGCGGCCGCGUUCAUCGCGCUCGCGGCCUUCGGAUCCGCCUCGGCGUCCAAGACGCCGACGGCCUUCGUGAAAUCCACCGUCAAGGCCCACGACGUCGUCAUCUUCUCCAAGUCCUACUGCCCGUAUUGUAGAAGGGCAAAGGCUGUGUUCAAGGAGCUUGAACUGAAGAAGGAUCCAUAUGUCGUCGAGCUUGAUCAGCGAGAGGAUGGUGGGGAAAUCCAGGACGCCUUAUCUGACAUGGUUGGCAGGCGUACUGUUCCUCAGGUUUUCAUCCGUGGAAAGCACUUGGGAGGCUCUGAUGAUACCGUUGACGCAUAUGAAAGUGGCGAGCUGGCUAAACUUCUAAACAUCAGUGUCAAGGAUGAUCUUUGAAUAUCAUUGUAGUACAUAUCUUGUCCUUCUUGUUGAGGUUACCAAUGCCUUGCAAUGCAACCCCUGGAUUAUCUUUCUUGCAGAACCUAUCACUGGGAUUCUGUCUUAUAAAAGUAUAAACUGUUUUAACCGUACUUUGUGGCGAUCCCUCGGUUGUUAUCUCGCACUGUGAUUGUUCGAUCGUUGCGUACUGAUUGAUUGCAUUUCAAGCACAAA
This is an RNA transcript of Hordeum vulgare subsp. vulgare (domesticated barley), 800 nucleotides long. It is a transcript of the gene named glutaredoxin-C8, with no coding region annotated. The transcript has 5 exons. Lineage: Eukaryota; Viridiplantae; Streptophyta; Magnoliopsida; Poales; Poaceae. The record is from RefSeq and is a predicted model, not a curated record.